This is a non-coding RNA of Lactuca sativa (garden lettuce), 1514 nucleotides long. The record is from RefSeq and is a predicted model, not a curated record. Lineage: Eukaryota; Viridiplantae; Streptophyta; Magnoliopsida; Asterales; Asteraceae.
UAAACCUCGAUGCUCUUGACUUGGUCCUCAUACCCUAUCCCUUCCAACAACUCCCCCUCUAUGUCGCCAUUUCUUCCGGCUACACCUAAUCUUUCUGGCCAUUUAUAUAACCCUCCCCACAUCCACUCUUCUCUAUACCGAUAACACUCCUCACACCGCUUACCAUAUUCGUCAUCUCCGCAUCACAGCAUCACCGUCGCACCACUAUUACAACGCCAUCACCAAGACCACUAUUACACCGCCAUCGCCAAGACAUCCCACCAUCAACGUCUCCUCCUUCUCCCUCUUAAUCAGAGACCACCAAAAUCCUUCAUCCUACUCCCAUUCUUCUUUAAUGAUGACCACUGUGUCAUUGCUCUCCAAAACGAAUGUUGUUCUCCCCCUUCAUCUCCAUCAUCAGUUAACAGUAAGACAAAUGCCUUCUUUCCAAACCCUAGAAACCCGUGCCGGAGUUGUAACCACCUCCUUCACAUGUUUCUUCUGUAUGCCCUAAUUAAAUUCGACCCUGUGCAACUUCAUGGAACGAAAUACUCCCAAUGUCUCUCUUUCUCCCUAUCUACAUCAACGAUGCUUGCUGGAAACGAAGCUUUCAAAAAUGACAAUCAUGCCCUUUUGACGAUUUUGUCAAAAUAAUCCAUGGUAUAACUUCUUGGGGACAUCAUGAAGAGGCUUAGGCGGGUUGUGGUUUGAUUUUAGGGUGACUGCAUUGACUGCCUAAAUCUCCCAUUUUCCAAGAUCAGGACAAACACCCCUAUUCUGGUAAUAUGUUUUUAGAUCCUUGUAUGUAUAUUCAGGAUUUAUGUCUCUGUUAUCAUGACUUAAUGUGUUUGGUAUUGUCCUUUUUGCAUAUUAUUCUAUUUCUUUGACAAAACUGACAUUCCGAUUCUGGUCCUUUGAACCUUUAGCUCAUUAUACAUCAGUUUUGCAUAAAAAUGAAUCUUUGAUAUGUGUUUAAUGUGAUUAUGUGAUAGGUUUUGGGACUUGAUACACAUGACACAACAACAAUCAGUGGUGAUGAUGGAAAAAAGUUGGCCUUCCGGUUAUAAUUAAACAUGUUUUUUUGGGUUUGGAUACAUAUUGGUGUCGCCAAGACAAAAAAUAUAAUUCCUCAGGCUUGAUAAAAUAUAAACGGUACAGUCAUUAAGGAAGUACUUAAAGAUAAUGCAGAUUUGAGGUGUUUGUGGGGUGCAACAGUGUGAACAGAUGGAAAAACUGUUUUACUAAUAGGAUCUGUUGGUUUUCUGUAUCUGAAGUCACUUCUAAACCUUUGCUUGAGUAUGGUGUUGCCAUCAAGGAACUGUUCUAACAGAAAAAUUGGUUCUUGGAUACAAUGUUGUUAAAGGCAAUAAAUCUUUUGUAUUCUCCAUAACAUCAUAUGAGAUUUUGUUGCGACAUGUAAUUUUAAAUCUUUACAUGAGAUUUUCUUGGGACGUGUAUUACGCAAAUGUAAUUUUAAAUCUUUAUUGUAAUUGUAUAAGUACUUCUUAAUUUCAAGAAGUGGAUUUCUUUGUUUA